This 39-nucleotide transfer RNA is filed under the name Argylia robusta. RNAcentral's name for it is "partial tRNA-Phe". The record is from RNAcentral. Lineage: Eukaryota; Viridiplantae; Streptophyta; Magnoliopsida; Lamiales; Bignoniaceae.
GCCGGAUAGCUCAGCCGGUAGAGCAGAGGACUGAAAAUC